RNAcentral lists this ribosomal RNA (200 nucleotides) under uncultured bacterium. RNAcentral's name for it is "partial 16S ribosomal RNA". It matches the Rfam family "Bacterial small subunit ribosomal RNA", at positions 307 to 526 of the family's 1533-position model. The record is from RNAcentral.
GCCUCCCUCCGCCGCCCACUCAGACUCCUACGGAGGCAGCAGUGGGGAAUAUUGCGCAAUGGGCGAAAGCCUGACGCAGCGACGCCGCGUGGGGAUGAAGGCCUUCGGGUUGUAAACCUCUUUCGACCGGGACGAAGAGAAAUUGACGGUACCGGUAUAAGAAGCACCGGCCAACUACGUGCCAGCAGCCGCGGUAAUAC